RNAcentral lists this long non-coding RNA (1824 nucleotides) under Mus musculus (house mouse). RNAcentral's name for it is "long non-coding RNA chr19:21689291-21691115". Lineage: Eukaryota; Metazoa; Chordata; Mammalia; Rodentia; Muridae. The record is from RNAcentral.
GGUUUGUUAGUCUUUUCCGAAAGCCAGCUCUUUGGCCAGGUGUAGAAACCCAUGCCUGUAACCCUAGCACUAACGAGGCUUGUGUCCUGAGUUUUCAAUCAGCAGGGCCUAUAUAGUAAAGUCCUGACUCAGACCAAUUCAAUUAUGUUUCAUUGAUCAUUUCUGUUGUUUUCUUUAGUUUCUUUCAUUUAUCUCAGUCAUUAUUUGUUUCCUUCUGCUAAUUUUUAUUUGGUUUGUGGCUUAAGAGGCAAUGUUAAGUUGUAUAUUUGAGAGCUCUGUGGGGGUUUUAUGUAGGCCCAUUAUUACUGCAUGCUUGCCUUUUGGUAGAUCAGAAAAUUGUAACAUAGAGUUUAUCAGUGUCAUACUUUUCUGAACAUGGACCUCUGGCAAAUUUACCAGUUCUCUGUCUACGUAAAUCCGUUUGGUUUUUUGAGACAGGCUUUCGAACUCAAGAGAACUCAGCCUCUGCCUCCCAGGUGUGGGGAUUAAAGGCGUGUACCAUUACCACCUGGUUUAUAAGUAUGGGCAGUCUCUUUAAGAGCUUAAUAAAUAAAAUGAGUUUUGAAAUUGUAACCGGCAGCAAUUGUCAUAUUCUUGGUACAUUUAUGAAUUCUACCAAAACGACUUAAAAAGACAACUUUCCCUAGACAGGUAUUACAUUGCAGAAAGCAAAAUAAACGUGGAAAUCUUAAGCGUAAUGAUUGUACAGCCUGACCCCGAGUUUUAGAAAUGCAGAAACAAACCCAGAUGAGGGAGUUGCUUGCUCUAGGUUAAAUUCAUUCGCAAUGUUGUGAGGCUGCUAGGUCCCGUUAUCUUGCUCUAAUAUAACUGUGAUUCCUUUGUAGUCUAGCUAUGGAGUCUUGACUGCCUUAACUGUGCUAUCCUCCUGCCUCAGUCUGCUGUGUACUGAGGUUCCUCCAAUGACCCCUUUACAGGACUUUACAGCACAAAUUGAUUUGCUCUCCAGUGCUUACUUCUGUAUUUUAAAUGACUCUAAAUUUUCAUCAUAAUGUUCUUUUCCUAUCUCUUAAUGAUUUAAUUAAGGCUAACUUAUUUUGCUUACUAGGUGAAAUAAAACAGCUUUUUAGUAUGUCAGUACCUAAUCAGUGUGGCUACGUGAAUAAAUAAGUUUAUUCCCACUGCCCAUUUACUACAAAUUAUAACACUGAGAACGGUUAAAACUAGAAAUUAGACUGAGGUAUGGUUUUCAGAAAUGAGAGACAACGUUUGUCCUAUUUCCAAAUAGUUGAUGCCUCUGACUGAAUAGGGAUGAGUGAUAUACUGAGUGAGAAAGGAAGCAAACACGGCGAUCCUGGAAGUGACCUGCUUGACAUUUGAGCUUUAAAAACAGCAAAGGAAAGAACAGGAAGAAUAGCAUCUACGAAUGGUGUUCAGCUGAAAGCUGUUAAGUUGGCUGUGUGAAUCCAGAUGGACUCGGACUUUGUAUUUCCUCUUGGCAGCUAUGACUAAAUAUGCAUAAUACAAUCAGAACACUCAGGAAAAGGCUUUAGUAGUAUGAUUCAAGAAUGAAAUUCAAGGCACACACCUGUAAUCCGAGCACACCAGAAACAAAGUGCAAGGCCAGCUGUAGCUGAGUACACCCUAUCACAGAAAGCAACAAACUCCUAUCCUGGAAAAAAAGGGGAAAUGUUGCUUUGUAGUGUUAUCCCUUUAGUAACUCAGACUUAAAUUUUUUUUUCCCCUCUAAAAUAACUGGAAUGUGGUGGAGGCGAAAUGUCGGUGGUAGAGUGCAAGAGCUUGGCCUGAUUAUUCACGACUGCCAUGAGUUGUAAACCACACUGGGCUGCAGAGCCACCCUUUGUU